ACCCGACCAAGCGGGUAUAAAAAGGCUUUAAGCUUGGAGCGUUGCCCUUUCGGGGGCAGGUAGUA
Molecule: ribozyme, 65 nt
Filed under: unclassified sequences
Description: pistol ribozyme
Rfam family: Pistol ribozyme
Source: RNAcentral